This 496-nucleotide ribosomal RNA is filed under the name uncultured bacterium. Its description in RNAcentral is "partial 16S ribosomal RNA". It matches the Rfam family "Bacterial small subunit ribosomal RNA", at positions 29 to 507 of the family's 1533-position model. The record is from RNAcentral.
AUGAACGCUGGCGGCGUGCCUAAUACAUGCAAGUCGAGCGAACAGACGAGGAGCUUACUCCUCUGACGUUAGCGGCGGCCGGGUGAGUAACACGUGGAUAACCUACCUAUAAGACUGGGAUAACUUCGGGAAACCGGAGCUAAUACCGGAUAACAUGUUGAACCGCAUGGUUCAACAGUGAAAGACGGUCUUGCUGUCACUUAUAGAUGGAUCCGCGUCGCAUUAGCUAGUUGGUAAGGUAACGGCUUACCAAGGCAACGAUGCGUAGCCGACCUGAGAGGGUGAUCGGCCACACUGGAACUGGGACACGGUCCAGACUCCUACGGGAGGCAGCAGUAGGGAAUCUUCCGCAAUGGGCGAAAGCCUGACGGAGCAACGCCGCGUGAGUGAAGAAGGUCUUCGGAUCGUAAAACUCUGUUAUUAGGGAAGAACAAAUGUGUAAGUAACUAUGCACGUCUUGACGGUACCUAAUCAGAAAGCCACGGCUAACUACGUG